This is a long non-coding RNA of Humulus lupulus (European hop), 312 nucleotides long. RefSeq lists it as uncharacterized. NCBI's taxonomy places the organism in Eukaryota, Viridiplantae, Streptophyta, Magnoliopsida, Rosales, Cannabaceae. The transcript has 3 exons. The record is from RefSeq and is a predicted model, not a curated record.
GAGGGUCGUGGAUGGCUCGGUCUCACGGAGAGGUCAUGGGUCAAAACUUGAAAAACUUGAAAAGCAGGAAAACCUCACUGAACCCAUUAUUUUCAUGUUGCUGAGGCAAAAUCUGGUCAAAGGGAAUAUGCAACUCUUUUCAGUGGAACAACAGAGAAGUCGAGCUCUGGAAGCUCAUGCUGCUGCUUUUGCACAAUUUAAAGUUCCAGGGAAUGAGAAUCCUUCUACUCUCAUUUCCUUUGCAACAAAGACUUUUAAUGCUCGCCAAAUUACAUCAAAGCUGCAUGUUAUAGAUCUUCGUGCCCAACCAGG